GUUUUUUUUUGGAGAGUUUGAUCCCGGCUCAGGAUAAACGCUGGCGGCGUGCCUAAUGCAUGCAAGUCGAACGGUCCUUCAUCUUUCGGGAUGAAGGGUAGUGGCGAACGGGUGAGUAACGCGUAAGCAACCUACCCCUAAGUGGGGAAUAACCUCGGGAAACUGGGGCUAAUACCUCGUGUGAUCCUUCGCUGAAGGGUUAAGGAUUAAAGCCUUCGGGUGCUUAGGGAUGGGCUUGCGUCUGAUUAGCUAGUUGGUGGGGUAAC
RNAcentral lists this ribosomal RNA (266 nucleotides) under Dehalococcoidales bacterium. RNAcentral's name for it is "partial 16S ribosomal RNA". It matches the Rfam family "Bacterial small subunit ribosomal RNA", at positions 1 to 261 of the family's 1533-position model. The record is from RNAcentral. Lineage: Bacteria; Bacillati; Chloroflexota; Dehalococcoidia; Dehalococcoidales.